GACGAACGCUGGCGGCGUGCUUAACACAUGCAAGUCGAACGGAAAGGCCCUGCUUUUGUGGGGUGCUCGAGUGGCGAACGGGUGAGUAACACGUGAGUAACCUGCCCUUGACUUUGGGAUAACUUCAGGAAACUGGGGCUAAUACCGGAUAGGAGCUCCUGCUGCAUGGUGGGGGUUGGAAAGUUUCGGCGGUUGGGGAUGGACUCGCGGCUUAUCAGCUUGUUGGUGGGGUAGUGGCUUACCAAGGCUUUGACGGGUAGCCGGCCUGAGAGGGUGACCGGCCACAUUGGGACUGAGAUACGGCCCAGACUCCUACGGGAGGCAGCAGUGGGGAAUAUUGCACAAUGGGCGGAAGCCUGAUGCAGCAACGCCGCGUGCGGGAUGACGGCCUUCGGGUUGUAAACCGCUUUCGCCUGUGACGAAGCGUGAGUGACGGUAAUGGGUAAAGAAGCACCGGCUAACUACGUGCCAGCAGCCGCGGUGAUACGUAGGGUGCGAGCGUUGUCCGGAUUUAUUGGGCGUAAAGGGCUCGUAGGUGGUUGAUCGCGUCGGAAGUGUAAUCUUGGGGCUUAACCCUGAGCGUGCUUUCGAUACGGGUUGACUUGAGGAAGGUAGGGGAGAAUGGAAUUCCUGGUGGAGCGGUGGAAUGCGCAGAUAUCAGGAGGAACACCAGUGGCGAAGGCGGUUCUCUGGGCCUUUCCUGACGCUGAGGAGCGAAAGCGUGGGGAGCGAACAGGCUUAGAUACCCUGGUAGUCCACGCUGUAAACGGUGGGUACUAGGUGUGGGGUCCAUUCCACGGGUUCCGUGCCGUAGCUAACGCUUUAAGUACCCCGCCUGGGGAGUACGGCCGCAAGGCUAAAACUCAAAGGAAUUGACGGGGCCCCGCACAAGCGGCGGAGCAUGCGGAUUAAUUCGAUGCAACGCGUAGAACCUUACCUGGGUUUGACAUGGAUCGGGAGCGCUCAGAGAUGGGUGUGCCUCUUUUGGGGUCGGUUCACAGGUGGUGCAUGGCUGUCGUCAGCUCGUGUCGUGAGAUGUUGGGUUAAGUCCCGCAACGAGCGCAACCCUUGUUCACUGUUGCCAGCACGUUAUGGUGGGGACUCAGUGGAGACCGCCGGGGUCAACUCGGAGGAAGGUGGGGAUGACGUCAAGUCAUCAUGCCCCUUAUGUCCAGGGCCUCACGCAUGCUACAAUGGCUGGUACAGAGAGUGGCGAGCCUGUGAGGGUGAGCGAAUCUCGGAAAGCCGGUCUCAGUUCGGAUUGGGGUCUGCAACUCGACCUCAUGAAGUCGGAGUCGCUAGUAAUCGCAGAUCAGCAACGCUGCGGUGAAUACGUUCCCGGG
This 1343-nucleotide ribosomal RNA is filed under the name uncultured bacterium. RNAcentral's name for it is "16S ribosomal RNA". It matches the Rfam family "Bacterial small subunit ribosomal RNA", at positions 28 to 1378 of the family's 1533-position model. The record is from RNAcentral.